AACAACUAAUGGAAAAAUUAUAUACAGAAAAAUGCAAAGAAUAUGAAGAGAGCUCACAAAUUAGAAUAUUCAAAUGUUGGAUAUACACUGUAUGAUAAGUUGUGAGGAAACAAGAACUUUUAUCCAUAUUGGUAUAUGUCUAUAUUGGUAAACUCUUGAAAGAUAAUUCUGUAAUAUCUAUCACAGUGUUGUAUGUUAAAUGCCUAUUAACAAUUCUCCUAAGAAUUUACCCUAUGAAUAUACUCAGAGCAUGUGAAACAGUCUAAAAAUACACUAUAUGGUCCAUCCGUACAGCGGAAUAUCCCACUAUAAAGAAGAAAAUAGGUCUGAGUACAUCUCCCAGAUACAUGAGGAAAGAAAGGAACACUAGGCACAGUGGUAUAUAUAGAUUGUUCACACUUGUUUAAAUUUUACAGGUAUACAAAAAAAUUGUUCUGGAAUGCAGUAAACUAAUUCUCACCUUUGAGAAGAGGGUCUAUUUUGUCAAAAGUAUUAGAAUUGUUUUCAUUUAUCAAAUUUUGUACUGUUUGAAUUUUUUACCGUGUAAAUUGCUUUUAAUUUUAAAUAUUUUAAAUUGUUUAAUGUUAUAUUAUUUGGACAGAUGCUUC
RNAcentral lists this long non-coding RNA (608 nucleotides) under Homo sapiens (human). Its description in RNAcentral is "HSALNT0127094". Lineage: Eukaryota; Metazoa; Chordata; Mammalia; Primates; Hominidae. The record is from RNAcentral.